This 409-nucleotide ribosomal RNA is filed under the name Adineta vaga. RNAcentral's name for it is "partial small subunit ribosomal RNA". It matches the Rfam family "Eukaryotic small subunit ribosomal RNA", at positions 30 to 432 of the family's 1831-position model. The record is from RNAcentral. Lineage: Eukaryota; Metazoa; Rotifera; Eurotatoria; Adinetida; Adinetidae.
GCUUGUCUCAAAGAUUAAGCCAUGCAUGUCUAAGUAUAACUCUUUUACUUUGAAAACUGCGAACGGCUCAUUAUAUCAGUUAUAGUUUCUUUGAUAGUCCCUUACUACUUGGAUACCCGUAGUAAUUCUAGAGCUAAUACAUGCGACAAUUCCGGUAGUAAUAUCGGAAUGCUUUUAUUAGAUCAAAACCUUCUAGUUCCUUCACCGGAACUGUUUGUUGGUGACUCUAAAUAACUUUGUGUUGAUCGUAUGACCUUUGUGUCGACGACAUAUCUUUCAAGUGUCUGACUUAUCAACUUUAGACGGUACAUUAUAUGUCUACCGUGGUUGUAACGAGUACAGAGAAUCAGGGUUUGGUUCUGGAGAGGCCGCCUGAGAAACGGCGACCACUUCCAAGGAAGGCAGCAGG